This 479-nucleotide ribosomal RNA is filed under the name uncultured Methanosaeta sp. RNAcentral's name for it is "bacterial SSU rRNA". It matches the Rfam family "Archaeal small subunit ribosomal RNA", at positions 857 to 1338 of the family's 1478-position model. The record is from RNAcentral. Lineage: Archaea; Methanobacteriati; Methanobacteriota; Methanomicrobia; Methanotrichales; Methanotrichaceae.
CAAAGGAAUUGACGGGGAGCACUACAACGGUGGAGCCUGCGGUUUAAUUGGAUUCAACGCCGGAAAUCUUACCGGGACCGACAGCAAUAUGAAGGCCAGGCUGAAGACUUUGCCGGAUUAGCUGAGAGGUGGUGCAUGGCCGUCGUCAGUUCGUACUGUGAAGCAUCCUGUUAAGUCAGGCAACGAGCGAGACCCACGCCCACAGUUGCCAGCGUACUCUCUGGAGUGAUGGGUACACUGUGGGACCGCCGCUGCUAAAGCGGAGGAAGGAAUGGGCAACGGUAGGUCAGUAUGCCCCGAAUAUCCCGGGCUACACGCGAGCUACAAUGGUUGGUACAAUGGGUAUCUACCCCGAAAGGGGACGGGAAUCUCCUAAAACCAAUCUUAGUUCGGAUUGAGGGCUGCAACUCGCCCUCAUGAAGCUGGAAUCCGUAGUAAUCGCGUUUCAACAGAACGCGGUGAAUACGUCCCUGCUCCUU